This is a non-coding RNA of Oncorhynchus keta (chum salmon), 1864 nucleotides long. Lineage: Eukaryota; Metazoa; Chordata; Actinopteri; Salmoniformes; Salmonidae. The record is from the annotation of a RefSeq genome assembly.
GACCUGCAAUGAGCAGCACUACCACAGUUCUGAUCAGGAGGUCUCUCCCAGAGUUACUGAAGGGAGACAGUGCUGUGCUGGAGUGUGCCAUCACACAACUCUCCUCCAGUGACAUCUAUGUCACCUUUCAGGCCAAUGGGGUUGAUUUCCCUGAGAAACAGUAUGUGGAUCUGCCUGCCUCCAAAGGCCCCCAUUCACUCACCAGACGGUUCUCUAUCCCCAAAUCACACUGGAAGACAGACAACACUUUCACCUGUAAAGUGAACCAAGGCUACUCCAACAGCUGGGUGUCUAGCUCCAAAGUCAAGCUUUUGGAAAUGGUGUUCUUUCCAGGUGAACUGUCCAUGGAACUCCUUCCUGUCCCCAGUGAGGAGUCGUCUGGCUCAGGGACCCAGAAACUCAUGUGUUCUGGGUGGGGCUUCAACCCUAAGAUCAAGUGGCUCUCUGGGUCUGAACAGAGGUCUGCAGCAGACAAUGAGAUAAGGAUGGGGGAAGACGGACAUGUGGCACUAACCAGUCAUAUCACAGUAACACAGCAGGAGUGGAAUGAGGGGAUGGUCUUCAUCUGUGAGGUAGAUGACAAAGAUCUUCAGAAAACUGUCAGGAAGAGCACCAGUUUAUGCACAGCUUUUCCCUCGUCUACUCCAUCCAUCCACCUGGAGACCCCCAGAUUCAGGACAGUGAUGACACAGACUGAGGUAACAGCUAAAUGUGUGGUCCACUCUGCGUAUGACGCCAAAGUGUCCUGGCUUCUGGAUGGAAAAGAUCCAACCAGUAGGACCCCAGUGAACCAGGCCAGCAGGACAACUCAGAGCAUCAGCAGUAACCUGACUCUUCCCUCAAGCCAAUGGAAAACCCUGAACACAAUAACAUGCAGAGCUGAACAUCGCUGCUUCAACUCCACAGAGAAGACCAGUAAUGUUAAAGGACCUGCAAUGAGCAGCACUACCACAGUUCUGAUCAGGAGGUCUCUCCCAGAGUUACUGAAGGGAGACAGUGCUGUGCUGGAGUGUGCCAUCACACAACUCUCCUCCAGUGACAUCUAUGUCACCUUUCAGGCCAAUGGGGUUGAUUUCCCUGAGAAACAGUAUGUGGAUCUGCCUGCCUCCAAAGGCCCCCAUUCACUCACCAGACGGUUCUCUAUCCCCAAAUCACACUGGAAGACAGACAACACUUUCACCUGUAAAGUGAACCAAGGCUACUCCAACAGCUGGGUGUCUAGCUCCAAAGUCAAGCUUUUUGGUGAACUGUCCAUGGAACUCCUUCCUGUCCCCAGUGAGGAGUCGUCUGGCUCAGGGACCCAGAAACUCAUGUGUUCUGGGUGGGGCUUCAACCCUAAGAUCAAGUGGCUCUCUGGGUCUGAACAGAGGUCUGCAGCAGACAAUGAGAUAAGGAUGGGGGAAGACGGACAUGUGGCACUAACCAGUCAUAUCACAGUAACACAGCAGGAGUGGAAUGAGGGGAUGGUCUUCAUCUGUGAGGUAGAUGACAAAGAUCUUCAGAAAACUGUCAGGAAGAGCACCAGUUUAUGCACAGCUUUUCCCUCGUCUACUCCAUCCAUCCACCUGGAGACCCCCAGAUUCAGGACAGUGAUGACACAGACUGAGGUAACAGCUAAAUGUGUGGUCCACUCUGCGUAUGACGCCAAAGUGUCCUGGCUUCUGGAUGGAAAAGAUCCAACCAGUAGGACCCCAGUGAACCAGGCCAGCAGGACAACUCAGAGCAUCAGCAGUAACCUGACUCUUCCCUCAAGCCAAUGGAAAACCCUGAACACAAUAACAUGCAGAGCUGAACAUCACUGCUUCAACUCCACAGAGAAGACUAGUAAUGUUAAAGGUUAGCAUGGAACUUCGUGAUCAUAUAU